This 433-nucleotide ribosomal RNA is filed under the name uncultured bacterium. RNAcentral describes it as "partial 16S ribosomal RNA". It matches the Rfam family "Bacterial small subunit ribosomal RNA", at positions 29 to 507 of the family's 1533-position model. The record is from RNAcentral.
AACGAACGCUGGCGGCAUGCCUAACACAUGCAAGUCGAACGAGACCUCCGGGUCUUGUGGCGCACGUGUGGGUACCGCGUGGUGACUUACCCUUAGGUUCGGUGUACCUCACCGAGAGGGGUGCUAAUGCAGGAUAGUGUCUUAGGAGCAAAGAUCUAUCGCGGUUGGAUGGGCGCGCGUUGGUUUCGCCGGUUGGUAGUGUACAAGCCUACCAAGGCGACGUUGCAGAGCUGGUCUGAGAGGAGGAUCAACUAGACUGGGACUGCGACACGGCCCAGACUCGUACGGAGGACAGCAGUAGAGAAUAUUAGAGGAGGAGCGAAAGCCUGAUCCAGCAAUGCCGCGGGAGUGAUCAAGGCCUUAGUGUUGUAAAGCUCUUUUACCCGAGAUGAUAAUGACGGUACCGGGAGAAUAAGCACCGGCUAACUCCGUG